Molecule: ribosomal RNA, 2786 nt
Filed under: bacterium
Lineage: Bacteria
Description: partial 23S ribosomal RNA
Rfam family: Bacterial large subunit ribosomal RNA
Source: RNAcentral
CGAAGCGCACGAAAAGUGUAACGACUGGGGGACUGUCUCAACGAGGAGCCCGGUGAAAAUACAAUACCGGUGAAGAUGCCGGUUACCUGUAGUUAGACGAAAAGACCCCGGGAGCUUUACUGUAGCUUGAUAUUGGGUUUAGCUUAUUUGUGCGUAGCAUAGAUGGGAGGCGUUGAUGUUUUGGUUCCGGCCAAAAUGGAGCCGUCAGUGAAAUACCAUUCUCAAAUGCGUUAAAUUCUAACCGAUCCGAAACCUAAAAAAGGAAAGCGGAUUGGGACAGUGUCUGGCGGGCAGUUUGUGUGGGGCACAUUCCUUAAGGCGAUUGACAAAGACUUCUGUCAAUCGCAGGGGGACAUCAUGCUUUUUAAGUAUGAUGAAAAAUUCGGCUAUAUGCUGGAACAGCCGUGUAUCUGGUGCUACCGAAUGCGAAAUGUGUAUCGCAAAAUACUCACUUUUUUCAUUCCCGCGAAAGCGGGAAUCCAGACCCUUUUGUAUAAAAAAAGAGAAUCUGGAUCCCCGAUCAAGUCGGGGAUGACAAGAAGACUUGCGAUAUAGAUUCCGCAUUCGGUGAAAAUGCAUCCAGUGCGGCCAAUCAGCAGGGAAGAAUAAAAGACAUUAAAUGGAGGAAUUCAAAUUAUGAAGUGGCGCAUGUUGUAUAUGUUGAAUAGAGAUGGUGAAUGCAGCGAAGGAUAUAUUGAAACAAAAACGGUAGCAGAAGCAAUACAACAAUAUCAUGCUCUCAAAGUUAGACUGAGAUCAAUGAAUCCCGAUGGCAAUUUGAUCAGUCUUAAAAGAAUAGAUCAGAAUCAAGAAAGGAUCAUAACAAAAAUUUCUUAAUGUUAAAGAUUCCCCUCAGAGACUAUACGCCGAACCUGAAAAAGUAGGCGAGUAAAUGAUUACUCGCCUACACAAAAUUUUUCAGUGAUGAUAUAGUCCGAUCUUCAUGGCGACAUGAAGAGCACGGCAGAAAUGUUCGUGCCGCGUAAUAAUUACGUAGUAACAAUUUGCCUAAAAGGUAAUGGAGGAGUCUAUUAAGGUCGGCUUGGCUCCAAUGGAAACGGAGCUGAAAGUGUAAAGGCAUAAGCCGGCUUGACUGCAAGACGGAUAGGUCGCGCAGGUGCGAAAGCAGAGCUUAGUGAACCGAUGGUACUUGCUAGAACAAGGCCAAAGAUCAUCAGAUAAAAGCUACCCCGGGGAUAACAGGCUAGUUCCGCCCAAGCGUCCACAGCGACGGCGGAGUUCGGCACCUCGAUGUCGGCUCAACUUAUCCUGGGACUGGAGAAAACAUAUCUUCUCUCUCUCGUGGAAAUGCGAGAGUAAUUAAACGAGCUCAAAACGGUGAAGGUCCACCCAUGAAUGGGAUUUGUAAGUUUCGCAAGUCCCAAGUAGAAUAUAUUCAUGGAGACUAACGCCGUAGGAAAGAUAUUUUCAGAAGUCGAUCGGGCAUAUACAGCGGGUUUUCUGGAUGCUGACGGAGCCAUCAUGGCUGCCAUUGAAAAGCAUUCAGGAAAAAAAUUUCGCUUCAGAGUAAGAAUUAUUGUUAAAAUUACCCAACGUGAUAGGGCAAUCCUUGAUUGGUUUCUAUCACGAUUUGAAAUUGGCUCUAUUCGAAAAAAUAGAACCGCCUUUGACUGGAUAAUUAAGAAUCAGGAGACAAUAAAAUGUUUCUUAGAUAUCAUAAUUCCUUACUUGAGAGUAAAAAAACAACAAGCGACCUUAGCAAGAAUAAUUCUUGGUAAACAGGUGGCUACCCGUAACGAUUUGUUGCAUAUUGCUCAAUUGGCGGAUUCAUUGUCUCGGUUGAAUGUGCGAUCCAAGAAUCGCCGUAAAAACUUCGCUUCAAUGAUCAAAGAAAAUAUCUCCUCUAACGACUGAUCAAUGUCAUUUUGGUGACAUUGUGAGAUAGGAUCUAAAAAAAUUCUAUCAUACGGCUCGCACCUAAAUUCUAGUCAGUGAUGACUAUGAAUAUGGUGAUGGAAUAGUCUGACACCUCUCGUAAGAGAGGAAAACAGAAAGAGGCCCCAAGGGUUCGGCUGUUCGCCGAUUAAAAAGUUACGUGAGCUGGGUUCAAACCGUCAAAAUGAACCUUAAAACAUUCGCAAAGCGAAUGUUCGGGCGAUCAUUUUGCGAAAGCAAAAUGAUUUAGCCAAAGACAUCGAGCAUACACACGGCGGCUUUCGCGAGCAAUCGCGAGAUGCAAAAGUUGACUCAUAUCGGUGAAUUCCUUCUGAAUUCCCAACCUGGAUUCAGAGGAUAAUACCGAGGGAAGUCUAUAGAAAUUAAAAAUUAAAAAAUCAAAAUGAAAAAUUAAGGUAUCGCUUCGUGAUAAUUAUAACCUUGACUUUUUCAUUUUACAUUUUUAAUUUAUAUAUGACCCCGUAGAGACUUGGCCUUUAUGGCCAGAGUCGUCCAAUUAUGGACGGCUAACACGUCAACCCCCUUUAGUAAUAAAGGGUGAUAGUAUAGUCCACCCAAUUAGUAAUAGUUGAAUUAUUGCGUGAGACAGGUUGGUCUCCUAUCUACUACAGGCGUUGAUACUUGAGAGGGCUCGAUCCUAGUACGAGAGGACCGGAUUGAACGAACCUCUGGUCUACCAGCUGUUGCGCCCGCAGCAUCGCUGGGUAGCUAUGUUCGGUUGAGAUAAGCGCUGAAAGCAUCUAAGCGCGAAACUCGCCUCAAGAUUAGGUAUCAUAGAUUCCUAGAAGAUGACUAGGUUGAUAGGCUGCAGGUGUACGCACAGCAAUGUGUUUAGCCGAGCAGUACUAAUAAAUCGUUCCCCCGCCACC